GUGAGUCAUCGAAUCUUUGAACGCACAUUGCGCCCCUUGGUAUUCCGAGGGGCAUGCCUGUUCGAGCGUCAUUACAACCCUCAAGCAUUGCUUGGUCUUGGGCUCUGCUGCUUACCUAGCAGGCCUUAAAAUCAGUGGCGGUGCCAUCGGGCCCUGAGCGUAGUAAAUCUCCUCGCUAUAGGGUCCUGGUGGACACUAGCCAAAACCCCAAAUUUUCUAUGGUUGACCUCGGAUCAGGUAGGGAUACCCGCUGAACUUAAGCAUAUCAAUAAGCGGAGGA
RNAcentral lists this unclassified non-coding RNA (280 nucleotides) under Helotiales sp. Its description in RNAcentral is "partial contains 5.8S ribosomal RNA, internal transcribed spacer 2, and large subunit ribosomal RNA". The stretch from base 1 to 71 matches the Rfam family "5.8S ribosomal RNA", at positions 84 to 154 of the family's 154-position model. The record is from RNAcentral. Lineage: Eukaryota; Fungi; Ascomycota; Leotiomycetes; Helotiales.